RNAcentral lists this non-coding RNA (44 nucleotides) under Thalassotalea sp. PP2-459. RNAcentral describes it as "Guanidine-II riboswitch aptamer (mini-ykkC)". It matches the Rfam family "Guanidine-II riboswitch aptamer (mini-ykkC)". From Rfam's summary of the family: Simpler in structure and has fewer highly conserved nucleotide positions than the ykkC-yxkD leader. Despite this each of its two stem-loop structures directly bind free guanidine. Lineage: Bacteria; Pseudomonadati; Pseudomonadota; Gammaproteobacteria; Alteromonadales; Colwelliaceae. RNAcentral also lists the same sequence under 1 other name. The record is from Rfam by way of RNAcentral.
AAGUGAGGACGACCUCACCGCUCUACUUCAUCAGGGACGGCCCU